GUCCACGCCCUAAACGAUGUCUACUAGUUGUCGGGUCUUAAUUGACUUGGUAACGCAGCUAACGCGUGAAGUAGACCGCCUGGGGAGUACGGUCGCAAGAUUAAAACUCAAAGGAAUUGACGGGGACCCGCACAAGCGGUGGAUGAUGUGGAUUAAUUCGAUGCAACGCGAAAAACCUUACCUACCCUUGACAUGGAUGGAAUCCUGAAGAGAUUUAGGAGUGCUCGCAAGAGAACCAUCACACAGGUGCUGCAUGGCUGUCGU
Molecule: ribosomal RNA, 264 nt
Filed under: uncultured bacterium
Lineage: Bacteria
Description: partial 16S ribosomal RNA
Rfam family: Bacterial small subunit ribosomal RNA
Source: RNAcentral